GGGCGAGCGUUGUUCGGAGUGACUGGGCGUAAAGGGAACGCAGGCGGUCUUUUAAGUCUGAUGUGAAAGCCUUCGGCUUAACCGGAGUAGUGCAUUGGAAACUGGGAGACUUGAGUGCAGAAGAGGAGAGUGGAACUCCAUGUGUAGCGGUGAAAUGCGUAGAUAUAUGGAAGAACACCAGUGGCGAAAGCGGCUCUCUGGUCUGUAACUGACGCUGAGGUUCGAAAGCGUGGGGAGCAAAC
This 242-nucleotide ribosomal RNA is filed under the name uncultured bacterium. Its description in RNAcentral is "partial 16S ribosomal RNA". It matches the Rfam family "Bacterial small subunit ribosomal RNA", at positions 532 to 773 of the family's 1533-position model. The record is from RNAcentral.